UUAAACCACAGAGAUUCGCGGAAGGGAUUGCCAAAGCUACCAAUUACACCGCAGCUGCAUUUUUCCACUUUGGAUUGGGACCUCGAUCUUGUGUUGGUAUGACCCUUGCAACCAUAGAAACCAAAAUUGCUCUGUCCAUGAUUCUACAACGUUACACCAUCACCAUUUCCCCUGCCUAUGUCCACUCUCCAAUACCUAUUCUCACCAUUCGACCACGACAUGGAAUUCAAAUAAUACUUGAGCCGCUGCAUAGCUGUUAAGAACUAGGGGCUUAAUAUUGUUGGUUCGUGUAUUCACUUGUAACAGAUGACAUUCAAUGUAUUUAAGGUGUUACAAACUUAAUAAAAAGAAAGAGGAAUGAAUUACUGUGUGAAACAAAUAAUAUUACUUCUUAAUUUUCAUUGGGUUAGAUAACCUAUUUAUAAUAGAAACUAGAUACACAAAUAAGGAAAGAUAUGAUAUGAAAUUGUGCUAUUAAAUUAGAUACAAAUAAGGAAAGAUAUCGUAUGAAUUACUUAUGCAAGAUAUCACAUUAACAUCCCCUCAAACUCAAGGUGGUGUUGUAGAUCUUAGUUUGAGUUUGAAAAUUAAGUCUUGAAAUCUGAUGGGAAGAUGGCUUUUUGAGAAAAUGUUUCUGAUCUGAGCCAAUAAGGAGACAGAAGCAUGGUGUAUGUGCCCUAAGUAACAUGAUGUCAUACAAAUGACAGAGAAAACCAUCAUCAUCAAAGAAAACUUCAAGGACCAAAAGAGGAGGAAUUAUAACCGAUCACAGAGGUGUUAGUCACUAAUGAAAACAUUAGUGCUUAUGAUCCCUCAUACCAAACGCCUCCAUUUCCAUUAAAAAACCCUACUUACAAAAAAGGAGAUAAAUAAUGAAGCAUGACACGGAGCUGAGCGUCAUUGAUCAGCUACUGGAAGACACCGUAAGAGAGCAGAGGCUCUCUUAUUUAAUAAAUUAUUCUCAUCAAAUUCACAUAAACAUAAAAUAUAAUUACUUUAAUAAUAAAAUAAAGGGCUUUUAUGAGUAAAAAUCAUAGAUUAAGAGCUUAUUUAACUAAAAAAAAUAGGUUGAGGGCUUGUUUAUUAAAUAAAAAAGUGAGUUGAAGAGGAAUAAAAAGAAAAUAAUAAAUAAGGAGGGCUUAGAAAGCAAUUAGUCAUAUUUCAACUUUAGUGUGCCACUCGCACAGCGGCAGCAAUUCACUUUCAAAAUUUAAAAUGUUAAAUUUGCACAUCAUGUCCUUGAAACUUUAGAUCAUUACAUUUUAGUCCUGUGCCGCCAAUGAGAAUGGCACCAUUGGUGCUGCCAAUGAGUUCCCCUCAUCAGUCUCUCCUUUUUUUUUGGUAUAUUUUGGUAAAUAAAAAAAUAUAAUAUUUUAGUAUUUUUUUAUUUUUUUAUAAUAAUUUGGUAAAAAAACCCGAGAAUCGGUUUUUGCUUUUGUUUUUGAGAUGUUGAUAUCUUUGACAGCCUUUUAUGACUUCGCACCAUCCACCUCACCUUUUGUUUCUGUUUCCCAUGCUUUCCCAUUUCUUCUACCAUAAAAACCACUAAAAGGAAUGGGCUAAAAUGUCAAAUAAACCCUUUAAAAAUAAAUUUAAAGAAAAUCAAUUAAGUCUCUAUUAGCAAAGUGCACCAAAUUGAGCUUUUUAAAUCACAAUUUGCACUCAAUUAAUCCCUAUUUUGUAAUAUUUGUUAAUUUUGACUUGGAAGACAAGGAUGAAAUUUACUGUAAGGCGGCUUAUAAUAAUAUGUCUGACUUUUACUUUCACCGUUAAUUUUGAUUAUCACUUAAAUCCAAAUUUAAAUUAAAACAAAAGCGACAGGAUGGAUUAAAUAAUGGGGAAUUUUUCCAAUUUUAGAUGUGCAUUAGUAUGGACGGUUAGAUGUUUUAAAAGCAGAAUUAAAUUGACACAAUAUAUAAAUAUGAAGGAUUAAAGUUACUAUUAUGUAAAUUUUAAAAGUUAUUAUCGUUAGUCAACCGGUAAUAAAAAAGAUAAAAUUAAAUAAUUGAGUAAUCAAAAAAGAAACUUAUUAAUAGUUAGAUAAUUACUAAUGUAAUUAUUCUAACAUUAAAAUGUAUAAAAAUAUUAAAAUAAAAAUUUGAUUGAACUGAUAAAAAAAUAUUUUAUAGAUGUUAGCAACAUGUACUCAAAUCUAUACAAUUGUAACUUUUUAUUUAUUUUUAUUAAAAUUAAAAAAUUAUAUAAAUUACAAAUAAUGUGAAAUCUUAAAAAAAAAUGUGUUUACAAAUUUUGAUUAUUAGGCUUUUUCCUGGUAACAACCUUUUUCAAGUCAAUUUGAACUAGAAUUGUCAUCAUCCGAACUUGCCACAGAUUGAAAUUUGUCUCACCCGAUUAGGCAAUAAGUAAAAAAAAUAGUAGAAUAAAUUGAGAAAUUGAGCACACAAAUUUAACGUGAAAAAACUCCUCCAAAGAGGAUAAAAUAAACUACGGGCAAAGAUAAUUUUAUUAAAAUGACAAAAGAAUGAAGAGUACAAAAGAUGGAGAUAAAAACUAAACCCCAAAAACAAAGAACCAUCAAAACAUAAACACAAAAUCUUUAAAUGUGUUAUGAGUUCUAAUCUCUAAUAGGUGUAUUUUCUAAGGUUGUAUAAUAGUCUAUUUAUAGGCUAAAUUCAUAGGUCAAAUAAUAAUAAAAUAAUCUAGACUAAUCAGAGUUUGAUUGAAAUAAAUAAACUGAGUUUAACUGAAAGAUUAUUUCUCAAAUUUGACUGAAAUAGGAGUCAUACUCAGCAGACACAAAUAAGGAAAGAUAUGGUAUGAAUUACUUAUGCAAGAUAUCACAUUAACAUCCCCCUCAAACUCAAGGUGGUGUUGUAGAUCUUAGCUUGAGUUUGAAAACUAAGUCUUGAAAUUUGAUUGGAAGAUGGCUUUUUGGGAAAAUAGUUGCGAUUUAAGCUAAUGAGGAGACAGAAGCAUGGUGUAUGUGCCCUAAGUAACAUGAUGUCAUACAAAUGACCGAGAAAACCAUCAUCAUCAAAGAAAACUUCAAGAACCAAAAGAGGAGGAAUUAUCACCGAUCACAGAGGUAUCAGUCACUAAUGAAAACAUUAGUGCUUAUGAUCCCUCAAACCGAAUGCCUCCGUUUCCACUAAAGACCUUACUUACAAAAAGGAAGAGAAACAAUGAAGCACGAGACAGAGCCGAGCAUCUUUGAUCACCUACUGGAAGACACCGUAAGAGAGUAGAGGCUCAGAGCCACCUUAGACCAAUCAAAAUCAACCACCAGCGACAUCUAUCCCAAAACAACACUCAAACAAUGACUAAAUCGUUAAAGGUCUUGGAUCUGACAGAAAAAAUAGAAAAAUAACAAAAGUAGCAUAUGGAGGCUUUAGGCACCACCACCCAUCCACCAUCUGGGAGUUGCAGUAAAAAACUCACAAAAAAUGGAACACUAGCAUCAAAACACAUCGGUCCCUCUUUAACAAAGGUUCGCUUGUGAGAGGAGAAAAAAUUAUAUAAAUAAAAGAGCCACGAAAGCUCAAACAAGGCCCCCAAAAAGUGUUUUUAAAUUAAGAGGACAUAAAAAAAUAGAGCAGAACAAAGAGACAACACCCCAAAAGAGAUUAUUAAAUCGAGAGGAUGACAUUAAAAAACAGAGCAAAACAAGGAGGAGGAGGACCAAUCACCGACAACAAGUGUUUAGCCGCUAAACCGAGAAACAAAAUAUGACCUAGAGUAUCAGGCAACCAAAGCAUGAGAAACAGGAAUUUGAGCAUACAAUGAUACAAAGAAACAUAACCUCCAAACUCUAAUCAUCAUUCAAGAACCUCAAAUCCCUCGCUCCGUUAGCUUAAAACAAGGUCCCAAUGCCACAAAAUAAACCAUUAAAACAUGGAAAUCCACAUUCUCUUGAUUUUUUACAACAUGAAAACUAAGGGUGAGUAUUCGAUCAAGUCGAGUUAAAAAAUUUUGAGUUAGUCGAGUUGAAUCCUAUUUUAGCAACUAAUAUCAAUUUGAAUUUUUUAGACUCGAAUUGAGUCAACAAAUUUCGAGCCAAGUUAACGAAUCUUAUUAUUUAUGCUAAAUGUUAUGUUUACAUGGACCUAUUAUUUAAUUAAUAGACGAAAUAUAAGAUUAUUUAACUAUAUAAACAAUAUAAUAGUUUUGCCUUUUAACUUAAUGAGUAAAUAUUUAUCAAAACGACAUAGUUUUAUCUUUUCUUAUUCAGAUAACUCGAAUAUGAAUUACACAAUUCAUAUUCGAGUUGAACCAAAAAACUUAAUUUUUUAUUUGAGUUUAUCUUAAUAAUUGAAUUACACAAUUCAUAUUCGAGUUAAACCAAAAAAUUUAAUUUUUUAUUUGAGUUUAUCUUAAUAAUUAAAUUAACUUAAAUAACUUGAAUCAUUUAAUUUAAAAUUUAAAGUUUUUACCAAAUUUUUGAAUGAAAUCGAAUUUUAUUCCCCUAAUAAAAUUCUUUAUUUCUUGUUUCAAGGACAAUAAAGUUAACUUAAACCCCCGUUGAGCGUUCUUCUGAUAUUAGCCAUAACAAAAUUCUUCUAUCCGUUGCCACUUUUCAACGUCUAAUCACUUCUUAAAAUUCUACAUCACAAAGCUUCCUUCUCAAUCAAAUCACUAAGAGCACAUCUCGAGUUCAAUUAGGUCUUCAACGAUCACCCCAUGAGUGCAGUCUGCUAUAAACCCCACUUUCAUCCCCCAGAGCCUACGUAGAUAUAGCUACCUCCCUCAAGAUUCUUAGAGCAAAACAAGGCCCCCAAAAAGGGUUUUUAAAUCAAGAAGACAUCAAAAAAUAGAGCAGAACAAAGAGAGAACACCUCAAAAGAGAUUAUUAAAUCGAGAGGAUAACAUUAAAAAAUAGAGCAAAACAAGGAGGACGACGACCAAUCACUGACAAUAAGUUUUUGGCCGUCUAAACCGAGAAACAAAAAUAUGACUUGAAGUAACAGGCAACCAAAGCAUGAGAAACAGGAAUUUGAGCAUACAAUGAUGCAAAGCAACAUAACCUCCAAACUCCAAUCAUCAUUCAAGAUCCUCAAAUCCCUCGCUCCGUUAGCUUAAAACAAGGUCCCAAUGCCACAAAAUUAACCAUUGAAACAUGGGAAUCCACAUUUUCUUGACUUUUUACAACAUGAAAACUAAGGGUGAGUAUUCGAUCGAGUCGAGUCAAAAAAUUUUGAGUUAGUCGAGUUGAUGAAUCCUAUUUAGCAACUGAUAUCAAUUUGAAUUUUUUCGAUUUGAAUUGAGUCAACAAAUUUCGAGCCAAGUUAACGAAUCCUAUUAUUUACGCUCAAUGUCAUGUUUACAUGGACCUAUUAUUUAAUUAAUAGACAAAAUAUAAGAUUAUUUAACUAUAUAAACAAUAUAAUGGUUUUGACUUUUAACUUAAUGAGUAAACAUUUAUCAAAACGACGUAGUCUUAUCUUUUUUUAUUUGAGUUAAACCGAAAAACUUAAUUUUUUAUUUGAGUUUAUCUGAAUAAUUUGAUUAACUUAAAUAACUUGAAUCAUUUAAUUUAAAAUUUAAAGUUUUUAUCAAAUUUUUUGAAGGAAAUUAAAUUUUAUUCGCCUAAUAAAAUUCUUUAUUUCUUGUUUCAAGGACAAUAAAGUUCAGUUAAACCCCCGAUGAGUGUUCUUUUAAUUAGCCAUAACAAAAUUCUUCCAUCCGCUGCCACUUUUCAACGUCUAAUCACUUCUUAAAAUACUACAUCACAAAGGCUUCCUUCUCAAUCAAAUCACUAAAAGCACAUAACUCGAGUUCAAUUAGGUCUUCAACGAUCACCCCAUGAGUGCAGUCUGCUAUAAACCCCACUUUCAUCCCCCAGCGCCUACGUAUAUAUAGCUACCUCCCUCAAGAUUCUUAGAUUCUUGUUUGCUAUAUCCUUGUUUGAAAAUCAUAAACAUUCAAAAGGCCUCUCAACAAUUCAAUCAUUCCAUACUUUUUGUAUUCUGAAACUUCAAUUUUAAUUUAAAUAAUACCAGUUAAAUCAAUUAACAAAAAUAACAUGAUUUUCUUCGUAAAUAUUAUAUAAAAAUUGUAAGUCAAUGUCACGUCACGUAUUGCGUAACAUUUAGCCAGUGUUGACUGAUUGCAUCCAUUAAAAUAUCCAUAAAUAUUAAAAUUUUGUAGGUCUAAUUUAACUUUUGUAACUUCAAUGAACAUCAGCAUUAGCCAUCAUUUUUUUAUCAGGCGGAGUCUGUGACUGCCGUGUAGGGGCAAACACUAUUAUUUAAUGAUGAAGUCUUAAUUUUUUCUAUUUUCAAAUAAUACUUGAAGUCUUCAUAAAAAUAUUUAAAAAGUUUAAGUCCAAAACCUAUUUUGAAUUACAAUCUUUAAUAAUUAUUAUAAAAUUUAAAAUAAAAAUAAAUAAAUGAUAAUUAUUUAAUUUAGGAGUAAAUAUAUAUUAAAAUUUUCUUAUUAAUAAAUAUCUACAUACAAUAAAUAUAUUAUUACGCGUAAUGUGAUAUUAACAUAUAAUAUUAAAAGAAAUUAUGUUGUUUUUAUUAAUAAAUUUAGCAGAUAUUUUUUAAAUUAAGAUUGAAACUUUAAAAUACAAAAAGUAUAAAAAUUAAAUCUGACUAUAUUAGAAAAUAAAAUGGUGGGUUUGUUGAUCUUAUUGGUUUUUAAAGUUCUCAAUUUUUGACAUUAAGACAUUAAUUAAUCAACUUGGUACCAAUUUUGGGCGUUACGAGGGUGCUAAUCCUUCCUCGAACGUAACCGACUCCCAAACCCGUUUUUCUAAAUUUCGCGGACCAAACUCGUUGUUUUAAUAAAAUUAAAUUGUUUAUUAAAAAUAACCACUUUUCAAUGUGAUCCGAUCACACUUUAUCAAAAAGGAUUAGUGGCGACUCCCACUUUCAUUUUCAUUUUUCAAAACCCAAGUCGACCCCGUUUUCAUAAAAAAAUUGGUGUCAACAGCUUGGCGACUCUGCUGGGGACCCAAAAUAAAUGAGUCAAGCCAUGAGUUGAUUACUUUUUGUCUUUUCGUUGAAAUUUGAAAACUUGAUUUAAAUAUACGAUCCUUUUAUUGCAUUUCAUUCGUCUUUAUUACAAUUUGCAUUGUUGUGGUUUAUAAUUCCUGUGUUGAUUUAAAUUUCGGUAUCCUUCUGCAUUGCAUUGCAUGACCUUUGGUCACACCCUUUUAAGUGGGAGUGAGAAGCUACUCCUUCGUGAGGUUUUCACCUCCGUGCAGGAUAGUGGAUCGCUUUCGGGAUACAUUUGUACCUAUGUCUUCGUGAGAUUUUCAUCUCCGUACAGCCAUAGGGAAAUGUAUUCCUCUGAACCGAACUCGGUCUAUAUGAGCCUAUGAUGGGUGAAGAUCGAGGAAUCUACUGGUUCGGGUACCCUUACUUUAGAACCAAACCACAUGUAGAGGACCUUAGGAGCCCACCCUAGGUAGAGCCACUUCAAACCCCUGGUAGUUACCCGAAUAGGUGUUCUAUUUAUUCUUGCUUGCUUUUACUUUGUACUAACCUGUUUUCUUUUUGUUAUGAUUGCAUUGCACUUUUAUCAUAAAAAGAGGUGUUGAUUCACGUUCAGUUGUUAAAUAGAGAGCUUGUCAUAAGAGAAUGGGUUUCUUGAUAAAGUGGAUGAUAAUACGGUUGUCUGAAUAUGGCCUAAGAAAACGUGAUAGUUUACUGGAGGACUACACGACUAUUGCUUCAUUACCCGAGGAUUCAAGAUGACAAAGAUUAUUCGAGAGCCGCUGAACUUUCUUAAAGAGGAACCGACAAGCAUCACGAGAAUGAGUGAGUAACGAGUCACGGCCCGGAUCAAGCAAAAAGGAGAUAGAAGAGACGUCCUUUUUGAAGAGUUCGUGAGAUUUACCUUAACGCUCGAAUAAAGAAGAGGAUCGAAUGUCUCCGCCUAUGAGGGCAAAGCCGUAUAUAUAUCCGCUUUAUGCAAAGAGAUUUAUUUUCUAGUAAAGUUGUUAUAAUAGAAUUGAACCAAGAAUCAACGUCUCUUUUUUGCAUUCAUUUCAUGUAUUUGUAUUACAUGACAUCAUAUGCAUUAACGACUAUUAAAAUACCCUAAUUGAAUAAAAUUAUUUUAGUUAACCUGGAAAACCAACACCUUUACGGUACUCGGGCAAAAUCGAAGAACAUGGAUCAAAGAAUGGAAAGGCUCGAACAGCUCCAAAAAGAGAUGCAAGACCAAAUGCAAGAGCGGCUAGAAAAAAUUCAGCAAGAUAUGGCAGAAAAGAUGCAGGAGUCCCAGAAUGACCUGAUGGCUCGGUUAACGCAGCUGUUAGCCGGGGGAAAAGAUAAGGGAAAGGAACCUAUGGUUAAUACUGAAGAAGGAAAUAAUGAAGGACUCCUCUACCCUCCAGGUUUUACCCCUCCACACGUUCAAAAUCCCCCGUUACAAUCAGACCUCAACAAUUUCAGACGGGUACCUCAAUGCCUAUGAACUUCCAAAUCAGAGUAGGCUCUAAUCCCGGAGAAAACCCUACCAAUCCCAUUGUCCCAGAUUUCGACGAAGUGGCUGAGAAAGAGAAAACAAAAGAAGAAUUGCCAAAGCAGCUAGAGGAAAGAUGCAAAUGGCUCGAAUAAAAAUUUAGAGCAAUGGAAAAUAUUAAGAAUUAUCAGGGAAUUAACGCUAAAGACCUAAGCUUGGUCCCAGAUCUGGUACUACCCCAUAAGUUCAAAAUUCCAGAAUUCGAGAAAUACAAUGGGACCAGUUGCCCGGAAGCACAUAUUACCAUGUUUUGUAGACGUAUGACUGGAUACGUCGACAACGACCAGCUGCUUAUACAUUGCUUCCAAGAUAGCCUCACAGGGGCAGCGUCUAAGUGUUACAAUCAAUUAAGUCAUACCAAGAUCAGUUCGUGGAGGGACUUAGCACAAGCAUUUAUAAAACAAUACAGCCAUGUAGCCGAUAUGGUCCCUGAUAGAAUUACCCUGCAGAAUAUAGAGAAAAACCCUAACGAAAGUUUCAAACAAUAUGCACAAAGAUGGAGAAAGGUUGCCGUGUAGGUUUAGCCACCACUCCUAGAAAAGGAGAUGGCUAUACUCUUCAUUAACACGUUAAAGGCACCAUUCAUCACACAUAUGUUGGGAAGUGCCACGAAAAGCUUCUCUGACAUAGUUAUGAAUGGAGAGAUGAUCGAAAGUGCCAUAAAGAGCGGUCGACCUGAAAGAAAAAAGAGAAUGAGGUGAACAACACGAGUACAUAUAACAAAGGUUAUUCAAAAUCAAUUACGGUGAAUCAGCUAAGAAAAAUGGUCGCUAACCAACAAGGUUCAUCAAGACAAGAAUCCGGGACAAGACAAGACACUGAGAAGCUUCAGUUCAUGCCAAUUCUGAUGUCGUAUAAGGAGCUGUAUCAAAGCUUAUUCGAUGAGCAUGUUGUUGCCCCUUUCUACUCAAAACCCCCACAACCUCUGUACCCCAAAUAGUACGACACGAAUGCACAAUGUGAUUAUCAUGCGGGAAUCACGGGGCAUUCCAUAGAAAAUUGCAUUGCCUUUAAAAAAAUGGUUGAAAGGCUUAUCAGUAUGGGCAUUGUCAAAUUUGAUGAUUCCUCCAGUCCGCUACCCGAUCACAUUGAUAAUGAGGUGAAUGCGAUGUAGGAAGAAGUGUUAGGAAGCUUUCACAUCAAUGCCAUACAUGAAGACAACUGAAAAGGGGCCUUGUUAGAUAUCCACCCUCAUAAACUUGAGAGUGUUCUAAAUAGUUGGACUGCAGAAGAAAUCCCUGUAGUAUUUAGAGCCUACUUAGAGCAAUUUUCAGAACAAACUUGUUGCUUUUAGCCUAGAGGCAAUAAGAACUCUUUUGUGAAAUAGGCUCAUGUCUGAACAUCGUUAUUUUAAUGAAAUGCAUCCUUGCGAUCAUUUUUGAGCCAAUAUUCUUUCAUUCUUUACGAAUAAUUAUUGUUGAUUCUUUCAUUCUUUUAGAUUUUCUUCCAAAUCAUUAUUGCAUUCAUUCAUGAUCAUAUUGUACAUAAUUUUAUUCAUUCUUUGUAUAUUCUUUUGUGCCUACAAUAGGUCCCUGAAUAUCAACGACAUGAGUAACGCUGCUACAGACUCAGGAUCUCCUUCUUAGCGAGGCAUGUGUUUAGAGGGAUCUUGUGACUUUGAAGAUGACAUAGAUUGUAGCCUAUCUCUAGACUUAUUGAGGAUGGUAGAACGAGAUGGAAAACAGAUCCUACCCUACAAAGAAUAAAUGGAAUCCAUGACCUCUCCCUAUAUGGGGCAUGGAUGUCAUUGGACUAAUCUUGCCAAAAGCUUCCGGCGGUCAAUAAUUCAUCUUUGCAGCUGUCGAUUACUUCACUAAAUGGGUGGAAGCUGCUUCAUAUGCUAAUGUCACAAAGUCAACAGUCAGCAAAUUCUCGAAAAAUCACAUAGAAUUUCAAAAAGGAUCAUAUCUGACAAUGCACUAAAUUUGAACAAGAGCACGAUAUCAGAAGUUGGCAAUCUGUUCAAGAUUAACAUCAUGUCGCCCCAAAGUGAACAGUGUAUUGGAGACAAAAAAACUCUACCGGGGCAAUGUCUUGCUUUUGGGCCUAUCGCGGUUUUGCCUAUUGAAGAUAAAAUUCUUUCUUUCUGAGUUUUUGAAUUUAAUCUUGAUUGAAAAGGAAUGUUCAAAGUUAUCCAUCAUGGUCAAAUGCGUCGAAAGUAAAUAAUGCGAGCUCACAAAAAAAAAAGUUCGCCCUAGAGAAUUCCAUGAGAGGGACCUGGUAUUGAAGAAAAUCCUCCCCAUACAAAAAAAACUUCGUGCCAAGCGGGGAAGAACCUUAUGUGGAAGGCCUUACCUAGAAAAGCGCCAAUCUUGAUCGGAAGGGAUAACAAGGAUAUGCCUAAUCCUAUGAGUUCAGAUUCAAUAAAAAUAUAUAAAAAAGAGAGAGAAAAAGAAAAUAGAAAGAAAAAGAAGAAAAGAAAGAAAAAGAAAAAGGAGAGGCUAAGGUGAAAACCCGCAAAGGGCACCUUGAGACCAAAGAGGAUUUAAGUUGAGACCAAAGGGGAUUUAAGAUGAAAACCCGCAAAGGGCGCCUUCGCCUUGAGGCCAAGGUGAAAACACGGAAUUCAAGUAAUACUAGAGUCAUUGUAUAAUGAUGCGUAAUGUAACAUAGCUGCUAAGAAUUCCAAGUUUAAUUUAGUGAAAAAAUUAUUUUAUAAAAUUUAUACGUCAACAAGUAAUUAUAUAAUGUGGUUAACAUAAGCUCCUUUCAAUUGGGAACCAACAAAGCUACCAAGUCACCAAAAUUUUGCUUAACAAAGUCUAACGAUUUAGCUUUUACUUUACUAAUAACAACACCCAACUUAUAAUCACCACUUAUAACCACCAUUAAAGUAUAUGUAGAUAACAGAAGUAUUAUUUAAUAAUAAUUUGUUAAUAUUAUUUAAUUAUAUUUGACGUUGUUACAAUGUGUCGAGGGAACUGCCACUUCCUUCACCACUACGACAAAAUAGCUUGUCAUAUUUGAAAAAUUAACAAUUUAUUGAAUCAAAUCUUUGGACUAUGUUAAUUUUGUGGAAUGAUUUUAGCCUAUCAAUGAGAAUCAAUUCACUAAACAUAUUUUGAGAAUUGUAUCGGAUUGAGUACAUCAAAUCCAUUGGAUCAAAGAUGUUUGAUCGAAUCAAAAUUGGAAGACUUAUCUACCAACAAUCCAUUUUACUUUAGUUGUUAAUAUUAUAUUGAAUUCAACUAUUUUAGACAUACAAGAUUUUACUAAUUCAUCUUCAUUUGUCGAAAGAAGUCUAUCCUCAAAUUUCAACAAAUUUCCACCACUAGCCAUUUUCACAGUAUCUGAAUUUUAUCUCCACACUUUUUUUUAACAUUAAUCUUAUUAUACUUAAAACUAUCCAUAGUCCCUCCUCAACCCUUAGAUAGAAGGAUAAUACACUUCAGUGCACUCGAACCCACGCCCUGCUGCACUAACAACAAUACCGAUGCUAAUCGAGUUAAGACGCUCACCACUAAAAUAUCACCAUAAGCAUAAAUCUAUAAUCAAAUUUAUAAUUAAAAUACAAGUUUUUUACAAAUACUUUAUAAAAAAAACCAUACUACAAAAUUAAAACAAAGAAAAAGAACACAUAAAAAUAAGAAUAUAAUAAUAUUUAAACAACUAGUAAAAAAAAUAUAUUUUUCAAACACUUAAAAAUAAUAUAUAUCAAUAUAACUAACAAUAAUAUAAAUAAUAAUAAACUAACACUAAAAAUAUUUUUUUACUUUAAAAAAAUCUAAUGUCUUAAAAAAACCCUAAAAAACAUAAAAGUAUAAAAAAGUAUAAAAUGCACAAAUCAUAAAAAUAUCUAACACUUAAGGUAGAUUUUGAUACAUCUAUAUAUAUGUUGUAAUUGAGAAAAUAGAAAACGAGAGAAGAAAAUGUUGGGAGAAUGAGCAGUUUGUGCAUUUAUAUAUACAAAAAUUUAAAGGAUUAAAUUGCAUAAGAAUUAAAACUAUUAUUCAACAAUAAUAAUAUACCCAAUUGCUUACUUACCACAAUUAGUUGGCCUGCAUGAUUAUUGUUUCAAGACCAUGCAUGCUUGUUGCCACCUUGCUUUUAUAUUUCUGCCAUGCAUGCUUGCUGCCAUUAUUUUUCUGCAUGCCAUGGUUGUUGUCACCCUUGCUGCCUCUUAUUUUUCUACCUUGCAUACCAUUAGAAUCCAAAUGAAGUGCGUUUUAAAAAUCUCUUACAUUUAAUCUUUACAGGCACCUGUCGAAAUCAAUCUUUAAUCCCAAUUUCAUUUACUCUUUCAAGACUGUCCCUUUAGAGAUUUUAUGAAGAGAAGGAAAAACAAUGGAAUUGUAAAGAUGGCACCCAUAGAAACCUUAGAAUGGUGGACGGUGCAACAGGCAUCGAGCGGGUCUCCCUUGUCAAUGAUGAAAUCACCUAUAUACUCUUUCAAGAUUUUAGGGCUCUUAGUUUCGUCCCCAGAAGAAAAAGAAAGAAAAGUAAACAGAUUGGUUUUAAGGUAUUGGGAAAGUCGAAUUAGUUAAUUAAUUAAUUAGAAUUUAAAUAUAUGUUUGUUUUCUUUAAUUUAACUUUUUUUAUUUUUAAAUUUUAAUACAUUUUUUAUUUUUAAAAUUUUAAUAUUUUUAAAAAUUUUAUAUUUUUUAUAUAUUUUUUAAAUAAUAUUAUGACCUCUUUAUAAAAUCACCAUUUUCACAUGUCACGAUCUAAGAUUGUCACGUGUCUCGAAUAUCAAAAACAUUUACAAAAUAAAAAUUUAAGAACUAAAUUGAGAAAAAAAAUAUAAAUAUUAAUUUAGGAGAAAGUGAGAAAUACGAAGGCCAAAUAAGCCUAAUUAAUAUGAUUCCAUACAUCUUGAGGUUAAAAUAUAAUUCAAGGUUUAAUUAAUUUUUUAUAAAAAUUAUGUUAGGUCUAGUUAAAAUUAAAUAAAAUAAAAGGUUUAAUGAGAAAUUCUAAAUUUGGGGCCUGAUUUAAUUUUUUUUAAAUUAAUGGUGUAAAAUGAAUUUCAAAAUUUUGCUAAGGUCAGGUCCCGCUUCGCAUUGGGUUGAUUAUUUAUUUUUUAAAACUAUAAAGAAAAAUUUAAAUGUUAAAAUAUGAUCUAAGACAUACACUUCGUAUAUUUGAAUUUUAGUCUUCAUAAUCUUAUUUUUAGAAAUUUAAUCAACUUCUUUUCGGAUUUAAAAAUUCAGGAUCUAUUAUUACCACUGUUAAUAUUCUUCUAUUAAAUUCAUUGGUGUGACGUUUUGGAACUUAGUUUCCAUACUCUUAUUUUAAAUAAUUUAAUUAUCUACUUUUCAGAUUUAAAAAUUCAGGACCCAUUAUUAUCACCGUUAAAAUUCUUCUAUUAAAUUCAUUGGUGUGACGUUUUGGAAUUUAAAAUAUAUAUAUUCACUUGGUCAUCAUGUAAUAAUAAAAAUAAAAUUGAAAAUACUAAUUAGAAUUUUUUUUUUCUUAAAAACACUCAUUCAAACUUGUCAUGAUGAAAUAAUUUUUUGGUGGAAAUAGCCUUCUUAAGAAACAUUGACAUCAACAUUUUGAUUGAAAUAGAUCAUAAUAUUAAUGAUUUAGACUCAAUAUUAACAUUAUAAAAAUAGAUGGGUCAAAUUAUGUUAAAAUUUAAAAUAUAUAUUAUUUUUUAAGUUUCAACAUAGUAUAGGGGUCAAACUGAAAAUUGACUAUAAUAUUAAAAAAAAAAAACCCCAAGGCAAACUUAAAAAGAAAGGUAAAACCAUGCUCAGUCUCUAAAACUGUUAGAGUAUUAUUUCAAUUAUACGUAACCAUUUAACAUUUUAAUAAAAAAUUAACUAUAUUAACUAUUCGAACUAAUUCAUAACGUUAUAAAAAUAUAAACAGAAAAUCAAAUUAGAAAUUAAAGUAUAUAGAUUAAAUUUCAAAUUUAAAAAUAAUAGAACCACAAAUGAAAUUUAAUCAUUUUAUAAUAAAAAAGGGUGAUGAUGUUCGCCUGUGUUAACAAAAAAGUCCACAUAUAUAUAUACAAUCAACCCUCUCUAUAAUAACCGCCCUUAAUAACAACUAAAUUUUAUAGUAGAAUCAAUUUUUUAUGUUUUAUUUUAACAUUCUAUAACAAUUUUUCACGUGUAACAACAAUAACCAUAGUUUUAAAGUACAUUAUUUAUUAAAUUUUUAAGUAAAAUUAGAGCUAUUUCAUAUAAACGAGCCUAUUAACUAUAAUUUAUUAAAUAAAAAUUAUCUUAACUAAAAUAUUUAAAUUCCACAUGAAAAGCCUAUUAAUCAUAUUUUAUUAAAUGAAAAUAAUUUUCAAUAAAUGAAAUGAAAUAUAUCUAUUGAAUAAACUAUCAAAUUUUCUCGUUCUUUUCUUACAAUAAUUUCUAUUUUUUUCAUUAUAUGAAUUAUUGCUGCCUCUCUAUAAAAAAUAAAAUUUUGACAGAUAAAUAAAGUUAUUAUAGAAAAAAGUAAUAACGGAACCAAAUACCUUAUCGAUUAAUUUUAAAAUGAUACGCACCAGAAAAUAAUAUCCAAAGAACCUACAAAUUGGCAGGCAAAUUAAUAAAUAAAAUAAUUCUAAAUAUCUCUUUUACCAUGCAAUAAUUGUCAACCUAAAUUCACCAUAAAUACAAAUGCUAAAGGAGCAUUUCCAUUCAUUGUUGAGAGACGAAAAAUGAGUGCCUUGCUGAAGCUUGCAAUUCUUGUCCCAUGUUGUUCCUUCAUCGUAGCUUUAAUAAGGUUCCUUUAUGAUUACUUGUGGAGGCCUCUCCGUCUACAGCAUAAGAUGAGUUCACAGGGAAUCAGAGGACCUCCCUACAGCUUCAUCCAUGGAAACAACAAAGAAGCUACUAAAAUGACAAAGGAAGCAUUAAGCAAACCUAUGGCCUUGAGGCAUGAUAUAUUUCCCAGAGUGCAGCCACAUAUUUACGCAUGUGUCAAUAAAUAUGGUAAGAUUCCAUGCAUGUUGUUCUCACUAUGGUUUCGAUCUUCUAGUUCUAAGAAAAGAUUGACCCUUUUUUUUUUUUUUUGAUUAGGGAGGAAUUAUCUUUCUUGGGACGGUAAUCGACCGGAACUAGUGAUUACAGAACCUGAACUUGCCAACGAGGUUCUCAAACAUAGUGUGACAACUUUUCCGAAAAGGAAGCCUACUGUUUUUGUCAGUAGGAUAUUUGGGAAUGGUCUUGUGACAGCUUUGGGAGAAAAAUGGGUGAAGCAACGGAAGUUGGCGAAUUAUGCUUUUCAUGGGGAAAGCUUACAGGUAAAAACGCUCUAAACAUGUGAAUUAGUUGUCUAAAUCUUUCUUAUAUGUUGGAAGAUUGAUUGUGCAGAACAUGACACCAGCUGUAAUUGCUAGUGUUGAAACAAUGCUAGAAAAGUGGAAAGGCUAUGCAGGCAAAGAGAUGGAAGUGUAUCAUGAAUUUAGAUUAUUGACUUCGGAAGUAAUAUCCAGAACAGCUUUCGGUAGCAGUUACUUGGAAGGGGAGAAGAUUUUUGACAUGUUGAACAAGUUGUCAAUAAUUAGGAGCCGAAAUCUUUUCGAAACUCGAAUUCCUCUGAUCAAGUAUGUUCCCUCUAAAAGCUUAAUUGAUCCCUCGGUUUUGUCAUAUUACUGACCUUGGUUUACUUUUACAGCAAGUUAUGGAAAUCUGGUGAUGUGCUAGAGUCUGAAGAACUUUCAAAAGAAAUACAAGAUUGUGUGAUGAAGAUUGUUAAGAAAAGAGAAGACGAAGUUGUGAAUGGAGAAGCCAAUAGCUUCGGCAAUGAUUUUCUAGGAUUACUUGUAAAUGCCUAUCAUGAUUCGGAUGAAAAUAACAGACUUUUAAUGGAAGACUUGGUGGAUGAGUGCAAAACAUUCUACUUUGCUGGACAAGAUACUGUUAAUUCCUUACUUGCAUGGAUAGUCUUCCUUUUAGCAAUUCAUGGAGAUUGGCAAGAGAAAGCAAGAAGAGAAGUGAUUGAGAUAUUCAGUAACCGAAUUCCGGAUUCUGAAGGCAUGUCUAAACUCAAAACUGUAAGUAAACUGUGAAACUCUUUCAAUACAAUAUCGUGUUGCAGUUAUUUAUCUUCUUUAAUGUAACCUGACAUAAUCAUAUUCUUCAAAUAGAUGACUAUGAUUAUUUACGAAACUUUAAGAUUGUAUGGUCCACCAAAUGGCCUACCAAGAAGGGUUACAAAAGAAGUGCAGUUGGGAAAGCUAGUCUUGCCUGCUAGCAUAGAUAUUUUGGUUCAAAAUAUUGCACCUCACCAUGACCCUCACAUGUGGGGAGAUGAUGUACAUCUUUUUAAACCAGAGAGAUUUGCAGAAGGGAUUGCCAAAGCUACCAAUUACAAUGCAGGUGCAUUUUGUCCCUUUGGAUUAGGACCUCGAAAUUGUGUUGGUAUGAACUUUGCAACCAUGGAAACGAAGAUUGUACUCUCCAUGAUUCUACAACGCUACACCAUUUCCCUCUCCCCUACCUAUGUCCACUCACCAAUACCUUAUAUCACCGUUCAACCACAACACGGAAUUCAAGUAAUACUUGAGUCACUGGGUAAUGAUGCUUAAUAUGCAAAGCUGCAAUCCAAUAAAUUCAUCUUUCACCUUCAACUUGUUUUGAGUUUUGAUGUUUGCGCAAAUGAUCCCGAUGAGUUUAGAGAAUGUUGGGUUGGGAUGGCUUGGGUUAGAAUGUUUUCUACUUAUUGGGUUUGUUUUUUUACUGUAUUUUGUUAUAGUUUGAGUUGAAAUUUCUCUAAAAUAAGAUUAUCUACUAAAAUAAUAUGAAAUCUACAUGAAUGUGAGUGUCAUUCUUGUCCUAAAUAACUAUAUCCAAAAUAUUUUAGAAAUAAUUUGAAACUCAAAUUAACACUUUGAUAGAAAAGUUAACCAUAUUAACUAUUUGAAUCAAUUAACAACAACAAAAUUAGAUUAUGUAACUCUACGAAAACAAUUAUAUAAUAUAUUUAUUUAAAAUAGAUGCCAUAAAAAUUAAUUUUUACUUUGGUUGAAAUGGUAAAAUUGGAAGUGUACAUAUUUUAUGUUGUCUUAGGUUUAAAUCCUAUUAUAAGUAUGUAUUUUUUCCUGGAUUUUAUAUAAAAAGAUAAAAAUACCUUCAAAUUGAUAUUUAUUGCUUUGUUAAAAUAAGAGCAUUUUGAUAAUUUAAUUUCUGAGUUAGUGAAUAUAGAUACUAACAAUAUGGGUGAAAACUUUUGUGUAAUAAUAUUAGAUCAUUGAUUGUCUAAGUUUGAACUGAUAGUAGCACUGUAAGAACAUUUACAUUACAAGAAAGACAAUUUAUUUCAGUAGAUAAUCUAAACGAGUUUGUAAUCCCGUAAAAGAAUCAAAGUUAGAAUUUGAUUCAAAUACUUAGAAGAAAUUAUGACGCGUCUACAAUUUCAAUUGGUGAGAUGACUAGUCUUGGCUAUUGGAGCAACUAACUCCACGAGUAGAUCACAUAUAUGUACUAAUUAGAAGAAAGAUACAUUGGACUGGACCCAAGUUGAGAUACAUCUGAAUUCGUUUGUGAAUUAAUUCACUUGUUACGUUCAUGGUAUGACUUACCUAAAUCCUGAGACUAGCCAUGCGUAUGUAACUCAUGUGCUUUAAUAUAAAUGGAGGCUUAUACUCUAAAGAUGAUCGAGCCGAUAGUCAGUAUGUUGGGUACAUGACUUGUAUAUGGCAUGACUUUACUAACAACAACGGAAUUCAUAGCUUAAUUUAAAAGUUAACGAUAUCCUCUCAUUAGUAUUGUGUGGAUUGAUAAAUAUGGAACGUGGUAAUGGGUUGCGUGUUCUCUAACGAGUAAUUUAUCAUAGUCAUUAGUUGACAAUGAUUAUAUUAAUUAAGAAGACACAAUGGUGACAAUGAGAUAAAAUAGGACUGUAUUGAGUGAACAAAUUUAACUUAAAGGAAUCAAAGAUAUCAUAUGAGAGUAACACACAUGGUGAUAGGUCAUUAGACAAAGUAGUUUGAUGAACUACUUUAGUAAAUAGUAUACAAUAAGGAGUGUUCAAUAAUGGUACUUAUUGUGGAUUAACUCAAUGAUUAAGUAAAUUGUGACUUAUUAAAAUGAUGCUUCUAAACAUAUUUGCAAUUACUCGAACCUAAUUGUAUAUGUCCGAUUGGUCCAUCCGCUAGCUCAACAAAAAUUCGAUCAGACUGCAUUUGAAUCAGAAGAAAAUUCCACAACUUUGGAAAUAAUUUAAUUGAGUCGCUUUAUUCGAUAAGGAAUUAAAUUUGAUGGUUGUGUGAAUUGUUCAAUUAGAGAAGUUGAUUAAAUAAUUUUCUUGAAAAAAUAAUUUGGAAAAUCUUAUUGAUUUUUGAGAAAAUAACUUUUGAUCAAGUAAAAUUAAAUUAAUCAAAUUAAUUAAAAUAAAUAUAAUGUUUUUAAAAAUUAAUUUUUAAGUCAAACAAUUGGUCAAAUGGAUAAUUGAACUUAAAAAUUGGACCGAAGAACCAAAACCAGAGACUGAAACCCAAAAAAUGGUUGAAUUGGACCCAGUGUAUGAAACUGGAUCAACAAUCCAACCGGUGGCUAGACCGAAUUGGUCGAACCGUCACUGGCCCGAAUCAAACCGGUAGCAGCCGAACUGACCAGGCCCAUUCGGGCAAAACGGUGAUGGUUCGAGGUGCUGAAGGGAAGUGGCAUCGAUAAAGGCACCAUUGAGCACAGGGGCAAUCCAGCAACCGGCGACUGGCAGAUGGUAAGCGGUGGUGGUUCUUUGGUGGUAGAGCAGUGGAAAAAUUAGACUCCUAGUGGGACUCUACUAAGCAACUUGAUUUCAAAUUAAUUUUUCCAAAGAUAAUAUUGUUUUAAUGAAUUUAAUAUUAAAUUAAAUUUAAUAUUUACCUAGAUAUUAAUAUUAUAUUUAAUUUAGUAUUUAUCUAGAUAAUAUUUUAUUAACCUAAUAUUAAUGUGAUUAAUUCUAGUCCUAGUUGAACUCUUUCUAAACUCUCCAUAUAUAAAGAGAGUUUGGGUCAUUAUUCUCACACACUUGAAUUCAAAAAAAGUAGAGCGAAAAUUAUUUGAAAAAAAAAUAUUUUAGAAAAUUUCUAGAGAUAUUCUUGUUAUUUACAACUUGACUCUAAAAAUUUAGAGAAAUUACAAAAUUGUCCCACUAGUAAUUUUGUGAAAAUUUUUCUAAUUCGAAUUGAGCCCACACUCGAUAGACGUGAGCUUGAGGAUAGCAGAGAAAACUACUCGGUCAAAGUGUUCAUUUUAGACUAAUCAUAACUGUACGAUUUUGAUUAAGUGUUUAUUAUUUUAGAUAACACAAUCAAGUUCUUGUUUUUGGAAAAAAAUUAAAACUCUAAUUUUCCCUUAAACCUAUUCUUUGUUGCAUUUUUGGGACCUGAUUUUCCAACAUUUUUGUGUUGAUUUAAGCCCAUCAACAUUUGAUCUUCAGUCACCUCGAAGAUUUGAAAUGUUGAACAGAUCUUCCCUCUAUCUUGAUGCUUUGAAGUGUUAGGAGAAUCUUGCCACCAUCUUGAAGCUUUGAAGUGUUGAGCGAAUCUUCCCACCAUCUUGAUGCUACUAAGGGUUGACUAGACUUCCCACCUUAUUGAUGCUACAAAGAGUUGAGCAAAUUUCUUCAUCAUCUAGAUGCAUUAAAUUUGGGGUGAAUCUUCCUUGGUUGCCAAAAGUGAUGAGUGAGUUAUCUUUCACCAUCCUUAAAAUCUAGAUGGAUCAUCUUUAGUGUGCAUAGGUCAUCUUUCACCUUCUUACUGCAUCUAAUUCCGGGGUGGACUUUCUUUAUAACAUGUUGUACCUCUUAUCAUGCUGAAGUUGCAAAGUUCAAGAUUGUUCUCAUAGGUGUCACAAGUUCUAUCUAUGGCCAUGUUGAUGUUACACAGUUUGGAAUGUGCCCUCCUCUUGUUGGAUAAAAUCCAGUUUAAAAAUGGUUUUCUGUCACAAUGAAAAAUUAAAUUUUUUAAAAAUUGAGUCGGUUUGUGAUAUUUAUAGCAAUAGACUUUUCCCGAAAAGUACUUGUGCUUUGUGCGAGACGGAUCCUAGACAUUCUUAGCUUUCAACCGAACAACCUUCUCUGUUAUUCUAGUACCACAAAUCGCUUCAGGUGUGGGGCUGAAACAAUCACGAAUCAAACAUAAAACCAGAAACAAUUUUCUUUACUUUCAGUAGGAAAGUAAAUAUCUCUUUUAAUAGAAUCUGGUUGAAUUUUUAUUCCUAAAAAGUAUAAUUUAUACUUAGAAAUAAAUUCUCACUAUUUUCGGACAGAAUAACAAUAUUGAAAACUUAUGUUAUUUUAGUCCUACCAGUGCCAUCUAUUUAUAGGGAUAUAUAAAAGAAUCUUGGUUGAAUUUGUAGAAUACAAAUAAUAUUUAUUUGAGAGAAAAACUAGUCCAUUAGUUCUACUAGGAGAGAGGGGUGGCACACCUUAAUAUUUAAUUUGGGUGUGCCACCCCAUCAUACAUAUUAUGAGGGAUUUUGGGUCUCUCCUAUAUUGAGUCAAAUUAUAUGUGUUUUUUAAACUUUUAACCCAAUACUUUAUAAUUUAAUUCAACUCAAUACAUGUUUUUCUAUUUUCAAAAUAAAUAUUUUUUAUUAAAUAAAUUUAAAUAAUUUUCUCAACUCAAUUCUAGUUCUGUUAAAGUCAUGUCAACUUUACCAUAAAAUAAUCUAUAAGAAAUAUAUUUAAUUUUCAUAUUCAAUGGAUUCACAAUGAUCAAUUAAUUUAAAUCCAUUUUCAAACUUCAAUUAUUUGAAAAUAAUAAUUUAAAAACUUGAAUUAAUUCUCUGGUAAUUUCCAUGCUAAGUGAGAAAUCACAUUCAUUUUCGAGUGUAACACAUUCCUCUAACUUUAUCAUUUCUAUCCAUUUCUGUUCAUUUGAUUCUAAAUGCAAUUCAUUUCUGGUUUCAACGAGCUAGCAGAGGGACCAAUUGAGCAUAUAUCAUUAAGGCUUCAAAUCAUUUAUAAAGUUCCAGCUUUUCGCCUAUUAAUUAUGAACUUAUUUAGUCACGAAGUAAUUUCACUAUAGUAUUGUGACUGAGCUCUCCUUAAUUACAUACCACUACUAAAGCUACUUGAUCAAUACUCAUCCAAUGAUCUUAUCAUACGUGUGUAACCCUCAUAAGAUAUCCUUAAUCUCUUUAGGAUAAACUCGUUCUACGAAUGUAAUCCUAUUUUAUCUCAUUGUAAUCAUUACAUUUUCCUUCAUGAAAAUUUAAUUACUAUCAAAUAGUAAUUAAGUAAUUCAUCAUAAAGACAAACGACCCGUGACCACGUUUACUUUUCAUCUAUCAUGUAAUGCCAAUGAGAGGAUAUCAUUUACCUAUUUAUUGGGUUUUAAAUUUCACUGUUGUGAAUUAUGCUACAUACUAUAUAAGUCGUAUAUCCAACACAUUAGCUUUCGAUUCCUUAUCUAUUUAAAUUCAAGCUUUUACUUACAUCAAAAUAUAUGAGUCACGCAUACAUAGUUCAUCAUCCACUCGGGAUUAAGGUAUGCCACACUAUAAAUGUCACAAGUGAAUAAAUACAUAAACAAAUUCAAGAUCUAUUCUACUUAGGUUUUGUCUAAUGUACUGUCAAUCCAGUUAGUUACAUUUAUGUCUCUAUCUUCUAGGAGUCAUUCUCUCCAAUGCUCAAGAAAAAGCAUCUCCUCAAUUGGACUUGAUAGAUGACAUAUUAAUCUUUCAAUUGGUUUGCUCAUUUCUAAUCAAACAAAUGACAUGUUUAGAUUCAUCUACUAAUACAAGUUGUUUUUCCGUAUUACGAUCCAACCACGUAAAACAACUUAGUAUUAGUUAAACGUUAGGUCACCAAUGAGUCCAAUGGUGGAGCCAGGGGGCUAAAAGGGCCUUGGCCCCCCUAAAAUGGAAAAAAUUUCAUUUAGGCCCUUUAUAAUUUAUCAAAUUUUAAAUUAGUAAUGGUACAAUUGUACUUUGGCCCCCUAAAAAUAAUAAAAAUUUGAUUUAAUCCUUUAAAAAUUAUAAAGAUAUAAACUAUUAAAAUGGUGAAAUUGUAUUUUUACUAUUGUAAAAGUAUACAAUUUAAUUCCGGCCCCCCAAAAAAAUUUUCUCACCACUGAAUGAGUCAAUAUUUGCUUUCAUUUUACUUUGCAUGCAAAAACCAUUGAGGAUAAUAUACAAAAGGUAUUAAUAUAUUUUAUGGAUAAUUUUAUUAAACUAAUUUGUUUGAAAAAAUACAAAUAUACAAACGAAUAUAAUACAAUUAGGGCUCUAGAUCCAACACUUAUUACCAUGUAGAAGUUGCAAAAGUUACUCCCGAUAUUGAUGUUACAAAAUUUGGAUUGAGUCCUCUUUCCAUGUUAAUAUUGCAAAGUUUGGAAUGGAUCCUCCCUCACCAUGUUGAAGUCUCUGGCCAUGUUAAGGUUGCAAAGUUUAGAAUGAGUCUUCCUCUAGCCAUGUUGAAGUUGCAAAAGCUCUUCUUACCAUUCAGAACAAAUCCACCUUGGUCAUCACGAAUGUGGUUCACCUUACCACACCAAUCUUGAAAAAAUCAAACCAAUCUCUAUCCCGCCAUGUUGAUGUUAAAAAAAUCAAAACAAAUUGGCCUUACCACGUCAGUGUUAACAAAAUGGAAAUUAAUCUCUACGUCACCACAACAUCAUAUAUGCCUCAACCAUUGCCAAACCCUUGACGAAUGAUAUAGCACAUCUUUGUGUCACUCCCAAUAUAUUCCGAUGUCUCCAAAAAUCUAGAAAUCAACUCUUUCUCUCGUCCUAACGGUGCACCUUCCUUGAGGAUUUUAAAAUAGUAGUUAAUAGUUAUAGUUAGUUGUUAGCAGUUAGUUAGUUGAUAGCUGAUACUGCUAUUAGUUAGCAGUAACUGGAUUUGUAAAAUCUGUAUAAAUACAAAAAGCUGGUUGUUCAGCAAAUCAUCUAAUAUACAAAGAAAUUCAGUCAUCAUAUUAAAUCAUGAUUUCUACUAUGGUAUCUGAGCCAUAACAAUAAAGUUUUUUUUUUACUUAUGGCAACUGAAGCUGUUUCUGGUAAUGAAAUUGAGAAUCGUCAAUCGUUUAACAACGCAGUUCAUGCAUAUGGUUCUUUCUUUGGUCCUGACACUGCUUCUUUAAGAAAGAUUCAACAAUUCCCUAAACAUGAUACAGUGAAACUUGGUGAGCGUAACUUUCUUUUGUGGAAGCAACAAGUUCUGUUGAUUCUUGAAGGAUAUGGCCUCCAUGAGUUUGUUCUUGGUACGGUUAGCAUUCCUCCACAAUCUUUACUGAUGCAGAAGGUAAACUUGCUCCCAAUCCUGACUUCUUGUUUCAUAAAAAACUAGACAAGUUAUUAGCCUCUUGGCCGUUGUCCACUAUUCGUAAUGAGAUCUUGGUUCAUCUCACUAAUGCUCGGUCUAACUUCGAUGUUUAGAAUACUGUUGUUCAUCGUUUCGCUUCAAAGUUAAACUUGACAGUUUCUACCUUGCGUCACUCGUUAUACUCUCAGAAAAAGGGUCAAUUGACUAUGAAAGAAUACUUGGCAAAGAUUAAAAGUUUGUGUGAUACACUUACAGCUACAGGUAAUGAUGUUUCUAAACAAGAGCGAAUAAGUAUUAUUCUUGCUGGUCUGCCUAUGGAGUUUGAGUCGAUUAAGAUUGUGGCCUCUGCAAUGAAGGUUCCUCUUGAUCUUCUUGCAGAAAUGCUCACUGAUUGUGAAGCUCGACAACAAGAGCUUCUUUCGAAUGUGUCUUUUCAGGCUAAUUUUGUUCAACAGCGUGGAAAUACUGAUGACACCAUCAGUAAAAGUGAUAGGGGUGCUCGAACUUCUUACAGAGGAAAUGGAAGGUUUUCUUGAGGCAGAGGUCGAGGAAGGAAGUUCAGUCAUACUAAAACCCAAUGUCAAUUAUGUGGGCGAGUUGGUCAUACUGUCCAGAAGUGUUAUUAUCAUUUUGAUGAAAAUUUUGAAGGUGUGUCUCACCAGCCUAUGCAGGCUCAUUGUCAUUAGUUUCAGGAACCUUCAAAAUCUUCUUGUGCAGGACCUCAAUGCUGUUCUCAUAUGAAUACUUAUAUUGGUGCUGCGGCUACUUCCAACCAAAGAUCAUGUUUUCCGAAUUCUUCAACCGUGUGGUAUCCCGAUUUAGGAGCAUCCAACCAUGUUACUAAUGAUUUGGAUAAUUUGCAGGGUGCAACACCAUAUACAGGUAACCACAAGCUUUACAUGGGGAAUGGAGUGUCAGUGCCUGUAGCUCAUAUUGGCUCAGGUCUUCUUCCAACUGCUAGUAGAGUGUUUCGGAUGGAAAAUAUCCUAUAUAUUUCUCGCAUUUGUAAAAAUCUACUGUCUGUAGCUCAAUUUGCAAAAGAUAAUCAAGUUUAUUUUGAAUUUCAUCCUGUGCAUUAUUUUGUGAAGGAUGUCAAGACAGGGAGCAUUUUAUUGGUGGUCACAUGCAUAAUGGCCUGUACAAGUUUGAUCUGUUUGCCUUCCAAAUGUUCAACAUUGUUGGUUCCUCUCCUGCCACUGCUCAUGUUACUAGUUUGGCACCUCCUGUUUCCAGUAAUCGUGUUUUUGAUUUGUGGCAUCAAAGACUUGGCCACCCUUGUAAUAAAACUGUUGCUACAGUACUUCAAAAAUGUAAUAUCGUUGACAAGAAUUCUCAGCUAAACUCAGUAUGUUCUGCGUGUCAGCUUGGAAAAAUUCAUAAGCUCUAUUUUUCCCCUCUUCCACUGUGUACUCAACUCUUUUCGAGCUCAUUGUAGCUGAUCUUUGGGGACCAGCUUCUGUAACCUCUGAAGGACACUCUUACUAUAUUUCAUUUGUUAAUGCUUACUCUAGAUUUACUUGGGUUUAUUUUCUUAAACAUAAGUCUGAGGCUCUUGCAAAAUUUUUACAUCUUAAACAGUUUGUUGAAGUUCAAUUUGGCUAUCAGGUGAAAGUGCUUCAAAGUGAUUCGAGGAGAGAGUUUUGGCCUUUUCCUCAAGCCUUGUCUCAAUUAGGAGUCCAUCAUCGCCUUUCUUGCCCGCAUACCUUAGAGCAGAAUGGCUUGGUCGAGAGAAAACAUAGACAUAUAGUGGAUGUUGGCCUGACAUUGUUGGCUCAAGCAAAUGUUCCUAUACAUCUAUGGUCUCAUGCCUUUAUCACUGCAGUUCACCUCAUUAACAGGCUCCCAACACUUGUUCUUCAUGGAAAGUCUCCAUAUGAGAUGUUGUACAAAUCUGUGCUUGCUCCAUAUGAGAUGUUGUACAAAUCUGUGCUUGCUUACAUGUACUUAAAAGUUUUUGGUUGUCAGUGUUAUCCUUAUCUUAGUCUAUUCAACUCUCAUAAGUUGCAGUUUCGAUCUAAGCCAUGUGUUUUUCUUGGCUAUAGUCCCAUCACAAGGGUUACAAGUGCCUUGAUGAUAGUGGAAAGCUGUUUAUAUCUCGACAUGUGGUUUUUGAUGAGUCAUGCUUUCCUUUUGAGAAGACUGUCAGCUCAGCUAGUACUUCGGAUCUCCGUGGAGUUCAAUCUCAGUUCUUGCGUCAACAGUCUCAUGUUUCCGUAGUAAUGCCUGUAGAUCGACCUUUGAAUCUGGUUAAUUCUGCUCAGCUUGGAUCUGGUAAUUCUCCUAGUUUACAGUUUGGGUCUAUUGGUCUGUCUGUUUCACUUGCUAUAGAUAGCAGUAGUCGAUCUGCACCUUCUUUUUCAUCACUUUCCCCUCAAGUUGAAGCAGGUUCUGGUUUUCGUUAUAGUACUCCAGUUGUUAAGGAAAUGUCUGCUCCUUCUGUCAAUGUGCAUCCGAUGUAAACCAGGGCCAAAAAUGGUAUUAUCAAACCUCAAAUUUUUACAACUGAGCUGCAUGUUCCUGAACCAGGAACAAUCGAUAAAGCCUUCUCUUCUAAGGAAUGGACUCGAGAUGCUCAACAAGAGUAUGAUGCGUUGAUGAAGAACAACACCUGGGAUUUGGUUCCACUACCUGCCAAUAGGAGAGCUAUGGGGUGCAAGUGGAUAUUCAAACUUAAGCAUCACUCGGAUGGGUCUAUUGCUCGAUAUAAGGGUCGUUUGGUGGUAAAAGGUUAUCUCCAGGAAACUGGAAUUGACUUUCAUGAAACUUUUAGCCCAGUUGUAAAACCAGCCAUAAUUCGUGUUGUUCUAGCUUUGGCAGUGAAGUUUGGCUGGUAGUUAAGGCAAAUUGACGUCAAUAAUGCCUUCCUUAAUGGCAACUUAACUGAAGAGAUCUACAUGGUUCAACCUCCUAGUUUUGAGCAGCAACAUGGUAGUCAGAACUUGGUAUGCAGAUUAAAGAAGGUGUUGUAUGGCCUUAAACAGGCACCACGAGCCUGGUUUUUCAAACUUAGAGACUUCCUACUUUCUUCUCAAUUUAUGUUAGCUAAGUCAGAUGGCUCGUUAUUUGUCAAGAGAACUAGAGGUGAAUUGCUGUAUGUAUUGGUCUAUGUUGAUGACAUAAUUGUCACUGGUAGUCAUCAAAGUAGCAUUGAUGAGUUUGUCCUUGCUUUAGAUACAAAGUUUUCUUUGAAGGAUUUAGGGUCACUUAGUUAUUUCCUGGGUAUUGAAGUCGAGUCUACUACAAAUGGGUUGUUCUUGAGUCAACUAAAAUAUGUUCUUGACCUUUUGAGGAGGGCUCGAAUGGAUUGUGCAAAGGGUUCUCCUACACCCAUGACUACUUCAACACGUUUAUCUCAACAUAAAGGCAGUGCUAUUGAUAAUGAGUCUGAUUACAGGAGCAUUGUAGGUGCACUUCAGUAUGUUUUUAUCACUCGGCCUGAUAUUACAUUUGCUGUAAAUAAAGUUUGUCAAUUCAUGCAUCAGCCUCUUGGUCAGCAUUUCAAAGCUGUAAAACGAAUUCUUUGAUAUCUUCAAAACACUAUAGAGUAUAGUCUUCAUUUUACUACUGCUGUCAACUUAGACCUAGUCGGGUUUUUUGAUGCGAACCGGGGGAUGGAUGUCGACGAUAGGCGGUCUACUUCUGGGUUCUGUGUAUUUUUUGGUGGUAAUCCUGUGGCCUGGGGGUCCAAGAAACAACAGGUCGUCUCCAGGUCCACUGUAGAGGCUGAGUAUCGCGGACUUGCUCAUGCAGUUACUAAGGUCGUGUGGCUCGAGUCUCUGUUGUCUGAGUUGCAUGUUGUUCCUUCCAAGAAAGCUACAGUGUGGUGCAAUAGUUCUGGGGCUGUUGCUGUGUCAGCCAAUCCAAAGUUGCAUUCGAAGUUCAAGAACGUGGAGUUGGAUCUGUUUUUUGUUAGGGAAAAGGUUGCUGCUGGAUAGUUGAUUGUGGGGCAUGUUCCAGCUCAGAACCAAGUAGCAGAUAUCUUCACAAAACCCUUGUCUGCUCCUAUGUUUACAAAGUUUCGGUCGAGUCUCAAAGUUGUUUCCAAACGAGAACCAGCAGCAGAGGUCAAGUAGCUGGAGGCAUAUUAAAGAUUUUAAAAUAGUAGUUAACAGUUAUAGUUAGUUGUUAGCAGUUAGUUAGUUGAUAACUGGUACUACUGUUAGUUAGCAGGUACUGGACUUGUAAAAUCUGUAUAAAUACAGAAAGCUGGUUGUUCAGCAAAUCAUCUAAUAUACUAAGAAAUUCAAUCAUCAUAUUGAAUCAUGAUUUCUAUUAACCUUCGACUUUAAUGAUUGAUGGAGCUAAUUUUUCGUGGUCUUUAAAAUACAUGGUUGGUGGGCACCUCAUUUUUUGCUUUCGGAUGGCUUCGAAAUCUUCAACGGAUUUAGACUGUCAUAGCCGAUGCCUCUUUACUAACCGCAAAUCUACAACAUAACUAUGAAAAAAAAAAAACAAGAUGCAAAUCUCUUUCAUGAUUAGAAAAAAUGCGAAAAAAAUGAGGAGAGUCGAAUUGCGUGGCGUAGUACCAAAUUUCCCACAUAGAGUUGACAAGUUGGCAUCAGCAGACCAACUAGCAGGAAUAGGGGUAUAACACAAAGGUGGCCGUUGGAUUUGGUGCUAACUCUAAUCUCUAAUUUCGCAAAAUAGAGUUGUAGAGGAGUUAGGCCAGUUUGAUUUAAUACAAAGAAAGUCGACUGUUUGUUGAAUUGUAUUUGCUUAAUUUGCGGUUAGUAAUAGAGAUAUCUUUUCAUUAGCCGCAUUUAAUUUGAACAACCCUAUUUAAAAUUUUUUAAUAAACAAAUAUUGUCGACACCAUUUUUUUUGACAAAAACGGAGUCGACUUUGAUUUUAAAGAUGAAAACGAAAAUGGGAGUCGCCACCAAUCCUUUUUGAUGAGGUGUGAUUGGAUCACCUCGAAAAGUGGUUGUUUUUAAUAAAUGAUUUCAUUUUAUUAAAGCAACGAUUUUGGUCCACAAAAUUCAAAAAAAGAGGUUCAGGAGUCGGUUACGUACAAUGAAUGAUUAGCACCUUCGUAACACCCAAAAAUUGGUACCUAGUUGAUUAAUUAGUGUCUUAGUGUCAAAGAUUAAAAACUUUAAAGAGAUUUAAAAUACGAUCCUUUAUUGAAAUGUUGAAAAUUUUCGGAAAAGGGCAUAUUUCACGUUAAUCGAGAAAGAGAAUUAUAUCUAGUAAGUUAGGACACAAUGUCUUUGAAUUCCCGAUGCGCGAAUGAAUGCCGAAAAUUUACUUAUUUAAAAGAUAUUUAGCUAUCUCGAAUUUAAAAAAGGGAUCAUGCCCAGUAAGUUAGGACACGAUCUUUUCUUAAUUCCCGAGAUCAUUUAAAACUUGAGUUUGAAAAGAUUCGUGUAUUUGGAUUUAUUGUGAAAAUCGAAACCCAGUAAGUUAGGGUACGACCUUCUUGAAUCUAAACACGAGAUUUUGCUUAUUUGAAAGUCGAAACUUAUGCAUCGAGAUAAAUUAAUUUAACUCGAAAUAGUAGAAAUGAAACACGAGUUUAUAUGCGUACAAAGCAAUAUUGAAUGCGAUAGUGUAAAAAUAAUACAAAUAAAAAUGAAGGAAUAAAAAGGGACAAAUUAAUAACAUGCAAAAUAACAAGUAUAAGUAAAUAAAAUUAAAACAUUCUUUUAAGAUAAUAAUAAAGACAUAAAUAAAUAAAUAAAAGAGAUGAACAAAAUUAUAAAAAAAUAUAAAGUAGAUAUAUAUAUGUGUAUUAAAAUUAUGAAGUAUAAAAAAUAUAUGUGGAUAUAUAUGUAUGUGAAUUAUAAAAUAUACGAAAAAUAUGUAUGUAUAUAUGAAUUAUGAAAUAUAAAAACUAUAUAUGUAAAAGAGGGGUAUAUUUUAAAAUAUAAAGAAUAUGUAUAAAUAUGUGUAUAUAUUUAUGAAAAUAAAAGAGGAUAUAUGUAAGUAUGUAUAUAUAUAAAUUUAAAAUAUGCAUAUAAAUACAUACAUGUAUAUAAAUUAUAAUAUAUAUAUAUAUAAAUGUAAGCGUGUACAUGUAUGUAAAUAUUAAAUAUGUAUAUAUGUAUAUAUAUAGCAAAAUUUGAAGUAAAAAAUAAAAAUAAUAUAAUAUAAUAUAAUAUAAGCAAUUAUAUAAUAAUAAUAUAAUAAGAUACAUAUAUUUAAAAUUUACAUAGCAAGUAUAAAUAUAAAUAUGAUGAUAAUAACAAUAAUAAUAAUAAUAAUAAUAAUAACAAUCACAGGACUAAAUUAAAAAUAAAACAAAAUCUCAGGGGAUAAAUCAGAAAUAAAAUAAGGAAAAGGACCGAAUUACACUACGCGAAUGAAACAGAGGGACUGAAGUAGUAAAUAUCCUGUACUCCAAAACGCAUCACUUUGUGUAGGACUAAAAUGAAACAGGAUUAAAGUUGUAAGGCAAAAUUAAAAGAUAAAAAAACUCGAUUGCAAACAAAUAAAAUUUGGAAGGACUAAAAGGGUAAAUAACCCAAAAGUCAAAAAGCCUGGAUCCCCUGGCGGGUCGGGUCGCGCGCGGGUCGGGGAAGCCAAAACGGCGUCGUUUUAGCGCCUGGAGCACUUGCCCAAAAUGUCGCCGUAUCAAUAGGCUCUUUAUUUAAGCCAAAAUUUUUUCCAAAAAAUCUCAUUUCUCUCCUCUUUUAAAAAAAACACCUGAAAAACGCUCCACUCUCUUCAAAAAUUAUCCCUAUCGGCCCAAGGUUCCGUCCGCGGCGUUGAAGGUAAAAUUUCUUUUAGUUAUUUAUCUAUUUAUUUUGAAAUAAAAAUAAAAUAAAAUAAUGAAUAAAUAAACAAAUCGAAUAAAGGACCUUGAUUUUUUUUUGAAUCUGUUUCGAUCUCUUUGUUUUUUUAUUUAGAAUCGGUGUCCCCCUUACAUUUUUACAACAUAUCCGGCUUUAUAGCCGAAACAAAGAAGAAAAAAAAGAUUAAAGAAAAAUCCUCCUUGCUUCUGUUGUUUACUGUUGUUGCUUUCAUUUUUGCAGGUGACCGGCGGCAAAACCGUGUCAAACCUUGGGGUGUGCGUCCAUUCACGUGGAGGAGGCAGAGGUAAUGCGACCGAAGGCCCUAGGUGCGGCGCCUAGGGUUUUUUGGCUGAAAAUUUUUCUUAGUUUUGGGCUAGGGUUAUGUUUGGGCCAUGUUGGGCCAUUGGGCUGGUAGGUUAGGGGGUUUGGGUUUCUGUUUUGGAUAAUGGGCUAGUGGGCUUAUUUGUUUUAUUUUCUCUGGUGGGCAGAGCAAAUUUGGGCUUCUACAAAUACGAGAAGAAAACAAGACUGGCGUGAUGGGGCUUGUAAUUCUUGUCCCAUGGAGUUUCUUCCUCAUAGCUUUAACAAAGUUCCUUUAUCAUUACCUGUGGGUACCUCUUCGUAUACAGCAUAUGAUGAAUUCACAGGGAAUCAAAGGACCUCCUUACAGAUUCAUCCAUGGCAACAACAAAGAAGUUACCAAAAUGAAAAAGGAAGCAUUAAGCAAAGCUGUGGGCUUGACAGAUGAUUUAUUUCCCAGAUUACAACCGCAUAUUUAUUCCUGGAUCAAUACAUAUGGUGAAGUGGAUGCUUGUUUUUUCACCAUGAUUUAUUAUAACUUCUGCUUAUCUAGCUUUAAGAAAAAGAUGGACACUUUUUGUUUUUUGUUGUGUGAUUAGGGAAGAAUUUUGUUUAUUGGAAUGGCGUUCGAGCUGAAGUGGUGAUUUCAGAACCUGAAUUGAUCAAAGAGGUUAUGAAAAAUAGUGAGACAAUUUUUCAGAAAAGGAAGCUUACGGAUGUUGGUGCGAAGCUACUGGGAAAUGGGCUUGCGUUCAUUGAGGGAGAAAAAUGGGCAAAGCAUCGAAAGCUGGCCAAUCAUGCUUUUCAUGGGGAAAGCCUAGAGGUAAAUCCUCCAAAUCUAUAAAUUAGUUGUAAUUAAUUUAUAAGAAUUAUACAUACACAGCAUGUGAAGUUUACUCCUUCUAACAUUUAUAUAUUUUGUCAAUUUAGUCUUUGUUCUUUUAUUUGAAUUUAAUCAUUAUUUUUUCAAAAAAGAGUCCACCUAUGCUUCAUGCUAAUAUAACACUAUUUAUUUUAUAUGUCACGCCAACAAAUAAUUUAAAAUUUUUAAAAUAUUCAAAAUUCAAAAUAAUAUAAAAUUUUCAUAAAUAUUCAAAAAGAUUAGAAUGGAGUACCUCUAAAUAGUCAAUAGGGCUGCAAUAUAUAAAAUUUUAAUCAAUAUUUUCAUUAGAAAUAACAAUUCAACUCUUUUUGAAAUCAAUAUUUUCAUCAGAAGCAAUAAUUCAACUUUUUUGAAAGCUUGAGCUUAAAAUUCGAUUUUUUAUAAAAAAAUUGAAAAUCAAAUUUAACUCAAAGAAGAAUAAAGACUAAGUUGAGAAAUAAAUGUAAAUGUUGAUAAUUAAAUUUGAAAUUAUGCUGUAAUAUAUGGGUGAAGUUUUGUAUUGUUGACUAAAUCUUAUGUUGCUACUACUUAAAUAUUGGAGGGUUGUUUGGGCAGAACAUGACCCCAGCAAUAAUUGCUAGUGUUGAAACCAUGCUAGAAAAGUGGAAAGGCCUAGAAGUCAAAGAGAUUGAAGUGUAUAAUGAAUUUAGAUUCUUGACUUCGGAAGUGAUUUCCAGAAUAGCUUUUGGUAGCAAUUACUUGGAAGGGGAGAAGAUUUUUGCCAUGUUGAACAAGUUGAAAAUACUUGUGAGUCAAAAUAUUCACAAGACUGCGAUUCCUUUCAUCAAGUAUGUUUCCCCUAACCUUAGUUAAUCCCUAUGGAUUUAAUUUUUUAUAUAGAGAGCUGACCUUUGUUUGCUUAUACAGCAAGUUAUGGAAACCUGCUGAUAUGCUAGAAUCUGAAAAACUCGAAAAAGGAAUACAAGAUUGUGUGAUGGAGAUGAUUAAGAAAAGAGAAGACAAUGUUGUGAGUGGAGAAGCUGAUAGCUUCGGCACUGAUUUUCUGGGAUUACUAGUAAAUGCUUAUCAUGAUUUGGACGAUAAAAACAGGGUUUCAUUGGAAGACUUGGUAGGUGAAUGCAAAACAAUCUACUAUGCUGGACGGGAAAAUGUUAAUUCAUUGCUUGCAUGGAUAGUCUUGCAUUUGGCAAUCCAUGGAGAUUGGCAAGAAAAAGCGAGAAGAGAGGUGAUUGACAUAUUUGGUAACCAAAAUCCGCAUCUCGAAGGCAUUGCCAAACUCAAAAUAGUAAGCAAACUAUCUAACUGGAAAUUCAAAUUGGCAUCAACAUGAUGUAAUCUAACAUGUUUUUCUAUUUUCCAAACAGAUGACCAUGAUCAUCAAUGAAACUCUAAGAUUGUAUGGUCCUUCACAUGGCCUGCCCAGAACAGUCGCAAGAGAAGGACAAUUGGGAAAGUUUAUCUUGCCUGCUGAUAUAGAUAUUCUGUCUCUAAAUAUUGGACCUCACCGUGACCCUCACUUGUGGGGGGAUGAUGUGCAUCUUUUUAAACCGGAGAGAUUCGCCGAAGGGAUUGCCAAAGCUACCAAUUACACCGCAGCUGCAUUUUUCCCCUUUGGAUUGGGACCUCGAUCUUGUGUUGGUAUGACCCUUGCAACCAUAGAAACCAAGAUUGCUCUCUCCAUGAUUCUACAACGUUACACCAUUACCAUUUCCCCUACCUAUGUCCACUCUCCAAUAGCUAUUAUCACCAUUCAACCACAACAUGGAAUUCAAAUAAUACUUGAGCCGCUGCAUAGCUGCUAAGAACUAGGGGCUUAAUAUAGUUAGUUCGUGUAUGGAUGACAUUUAAUAUGUCUAAGGUUCUAGCA
RNAcentral lists this long non-coding RNA (33315 nucleotides) under Gossypium barbadense (sea-island cotton). RNAcentral describes it as "long non-coding RNA (GBAR_LNC013905)". The record is from RNAcentral. Lineage: Eukaryota; Viridiplantae; Streptophyta; Magnoliopsida; Malvales; Malvaceae.